UUGAUACCAGCUUAGRGAUCUGCUGGUUUGCUGUUAGAGGAAGGGAGGCUAUGACUUUUCCAGGAUAGCACAUACACUUCUAUUGCCUGCAUAUUAAAAAACAUAUCAAGAGCAGAGAGAUGCUGGUAACCUAUGUGCUGAAAUUCCUAGAUAUGCCUUCAGUGACUAUUAAUAAUUUCCCCUAUACGGAAAACUAUCAAGUAGUGCCUGAUCUCUUUUUUCCCUCUUUUUUGUCAGGUGAAUAUUUUCAGUAUGCUCAACUGAGAUGAUAUGGCUCCUUGACAGCAAAAGUGAUUCCCUUGGAGCAGGGCCCUGCAGUAACUCUAGUUGCACCCACUCACAGUGCUGGCUGCAGGAACUGGGGUUUGGUCCUGCUCCUCUGCUCUCCUUGCCGAGGAGUCUGAUCUGUGUGUUUGGAGUACUCUGUGGAAGUGUGUCAAGGCGACAAAGAUGCCCUUCCGUUCCUGAUAAUGCAGAAAGCCCAGCUCCCCAAACUGGGGCUUGUUUAGUUACCCUUCUGCCUGUCUGCACGGCAGUGAAAAAAGCGUUCUUUGUCACCGUUCUCCAUGAGAUACCAAGCAGCAGGAAAAUGCUGUGUUUGCAAUGUACAUCUGUAUGUGUUCACUGCAGAUGUCCUGGGUCAAAAACGCAUCCUGAAGAGCUUCAUCCUUUUCCCUGCUCCGUUUUGCCACCUGUCAUCUUAACGUGCUGCUUUUUAUGUACACCUUUUGUCGCUGCAGCCAUCUCCUAGCGUGAAGGAGCGAACUGAACUCCUUUCAGAAUUUCAUUAAUGCCGCUUCUGAUCAGACGCUGCUGAAUGACCGCUGCUUACCCUGGCCCUCGCGGAUCCUCGAGCGCCGUACACGUCGGUGGGACGGGUGCCUGGGCGCGGGGCUCUGGAGAGGGCAAGCACGGCUCUCGGCGGAGGCUUUCUCUAAAAACGAAGACUUAGCUAAGAUGAAAGAAAAUUCUUCUCUGUAGAUUUUCAAGCAAAAAGAGGCCACUAUGAUAACAGCUCACUUAAAGUAUAACUUGAGACCCAAAGCAUCUUCCAGUGAUUUCUGCAUGCAGUCCGUUAUCUUGCAGGUAAAGGUAUCUGCUGUCAGUGUGAAGACUCCAGUGUUCAAAGAAUCUACAGGUUUUUUUAUUUACCUAAUUCCACUGAAUAAUUAUUCCCCUGCCUCAGGAGUCUCUUCUCAAUAACACUGUGACUAGCUGUAUAGGAAAUUUAAUGCAAAUAAAAACAAACCUUUUGCAUUAUAAAUAUGAUAC
RNAcentral lists this long non-coding RNA (1272 nucleotides) under Apteryx owenii (little spotted kiwi). Its description in RNAcentral is "lncRNA (ENSAOWG00000013624.1)". Lineage: Eukaryota; Metazoa; Chordata; Aves; Apterygiformes; Apterygidae. The record is from RNAcentral.